AUUGAACGCUGGCGGCAUGCUUUACACAUGCAAGUCGAGCGGCAGCGCGGGGGCAACCCUGGCGGCGAGCGGCGAACGGGUGAGUAAUGCAUCGGAACGUACCCGCAGUGGGGGAUAACCCAGCGAAAGCUGGGCUAAUACCGCAUAUGCUCUACGGAGGAAAGUGGGGGACUCGCAAGGGCCUCACGCUAUGGGAGCGGCCGAUGUCCGAUUAGCUAGUUGGUGGGGUAAUGGCCCACCAAGGCGACGAUCGGUAGCUGGUCUGAGAGGAUGAUCAGCCACACUGGGACUGAGACACGGCCCAGACUCUACGGGAGGCAGCAGUGGGGAAUUUUGGACAAUGGGGGCAACCCGUGAUCCAGCCAUGCCGCGUGCGGG
Molecule: ribosomal RNA, 378 nt
Filed under: uncultured bacterium
Lineage: Bacteria
Description: bacterial SSU rRNA
Rfam family: Bacterial small subunit ribosomal RNA
Source: RNAcentral